RNAcentral lists this transfer RNA (72 nucleotides) under Camelus bactrianus (Bactrian camel). It matches the Rfam family "tRNA". From Rfam's summary of the family: Transfer RNA (tRNA) molecules are approximately 80 nucleotides in length. RNAcentral also lists the same sequence under 2 other names. The record is from Rfam by way of RNAcentral. Lineage: Eukaryota; Metazoa; Chordata; Mammalia; Artiodactyla; Camelidae.
GAGGGUAUAGCUCAGUGGUAGAGCACGUGCUUAGCAUGCACAGGAUCCUGGGUUCAAUCCCCAGUACCCCCA